This 206-nucleotide long non-coding RNA is filed under the name Lathyrus oleraceus (garden pea). RNAcentral describes it as "Pisum sativum (pea) long non-coding RNA (PSAT_LNC023366)". Lineage: Eukaryota; Viridiplantae; Streptophyta; Magnoliopsida; Fabales; Fabaceae. The record is from RNAcentral.
UUCUACGGUUCUUUGGUAUUCAAUCCCUGUUUACCCUGAAAGUCUGACAGCCGUUGCUCUCAUCCAUUCGGGUUCCCAGCUGAUUGAAUAGGGGCAGCUGUAGCACCUCAAAUUUGCACCUAUCAUUAUGCAUACAUUUUCAUAUUAGGUCAUAGCAUAUCAUGAUCCAUUGCAUAGCAUUUGCAUUGUCCCUCAGUUGCCUCAAG